RNAcentral lists this transfer RNA (75 nucleotides) under Kribbella jiaozuonensis. RNAcentral describes it as "Kribbella sp. NEAU-THZ 27 tRNA-Val". It matches the Rfam family "tRNA". From Rfam's summary of the family: Transfer RNA (tRNA) molecules are approximately 80 nucleotides in length. Lineage: Bacteria; Bacillati; Actinomycetota; Actinomycetes; Propionibacteriales; Kribbellaceae. RNAcentral also lists the same sequence under 3 other names. The record is from RNAcentral.
GGGCGGAUAGCUCAGCGGUAGAGCGCUUCCCUUACAAGGAAGAUGUCGGGGGUUCGAUCCCCUCUUCGCCCACCA